Molecule: long non-coding RNA, 3027 nt
Organism: Papaver somniferum (opium poppy)
Lineage: Eukaryota; Viridiplantae; Streptophyta; Magnoliopsida; Ranunculales; Papaveraceae
Exons: 3
Source: RefSeq, a predicted model, not a curated record
UCUUCCCCAAUUUCUUCAGCAGCAAAACCAGAGAUGAAGAAUUGAGGGGUUUGAUGGUGAGAUCGAGAGAGUAACUCAAGAGGAGAUGAAGGAUUUGAUUUGCUGUAAAUCUGGUGAAAUGAUUCAAUGAAUUAGGGUUUUGUUGAUGGAGGUUGUGAAUCAAACAAGGAAGAUAUUUGAAGAUAUUACGAUCAUGGGUUUGGUUGAAAUUGUGGUGGUGACUGAGCAAUUACAGAGAAGAAUCUGAGAAUGAAGAAGGCAGUACUGGUGGUGCUGCCAAAGAUGAAAUCAGUAGAGAGGUUUGAUCUCAAGGUUGGGAAGAAUAGUCUUAUGGCACUGAAUGUUGAACUGGUGGUGAUGGCUGGAGAGAAUGAUUCUAGUGUUAAUGUUCAUGGUAUUUCUGGUGAUGAAAGAAUGGGUUAAGCCUAAAUUUGGUGUUGUGGUUCUGUUGUGAUGGAGUUGUGUAUGUGUGCAAGGAGGGUUGCUUGUUCUGGCGGUAUUGAGAAUGGUCGAAUUGACGAGCUGAUUGAUUUGGAGUGCUGAUAAUGAUGGUUGUGGUUACUCUGUGAAGCAGAAUGGACAAGAUGAUGGAAAACAGAAGCUGCAGCAAGAAGGAGAACAUGGUAUUUGGGAAGAAAUGAAAAUUUAUACACAUAAAUGUUGGUAGUGUUGGUUGUGACCGAAUUGGUGGUACCAGGCUUGGAGGUUGCAGGUUAUGUUAGGAAAGGUGUUGCAGCUGCAGUUAAGUCUGAGAUGAUUGCAAGCAAUGGAGCUGCAAUUGGUUUGCAGUGGAGCAAGAAGCUGCAGAAUUGAAGUAUUACAGGUGAAUGAAGCUGAUAACUGUUGUUGUUGCGUGUGGUUCUUAUGCUUAGAAGUGAAUGAGUUUGAAGGCAGAGCUUGUGCAGCAGGAAAUGGAGUUCGAUUUGAUGUGAACCUAAGCAAGAAGUGGACUGGAAAGUGAGCCUGUUGCAUAUUGGUACUAGUGACAAUGGAGGAGAAAGCGGGUGUCAGCAGUUGAUUUUUGCUGUGGAAUGAUGGCUAUAGUUGAGUUUCGAAUGAUGAGAAAUGUUGGGUUAGAGUCGGAAUCGAGAUUCGAGGGACUGAAAUGAGAUGCAGGUGAUGGUGCUAAGAUGGAGAAUGGAGAAAACUGAAAUGGGUAUUGAACUGCAGAAGUCAUGGAUGCAGAUGGAGCUUGUGGUUGUUUUGGUGCUCAAAUGGUUUGUGCUGAGUUGUUUGCAGUCAAGAUAAGCUGCAAAUGAAUGGCUUGAGGAAAGGGAGUGAAACUGAGGUUGUUUCAGUUAAAUGUAAUAGCUUGGAAGUGCUUGUACUGGAGUUUGGUUGCAGAUGCAGUUGUUGGAUCUGGCGGAAGUGAUGAGUAUAUGGGUACAUGACUAUUUAAGUAUUUGGCAGUGCUGAAAACCGAAGCAGUUGCAGGUGUGUGUGUGUGUUGGUAAUGAAUGCAUGGAAUGGACAUGGCUUUGACAGCGAAUUGUUUGAGGCCUUGUUGCUGUUGAGAACGGCAGCUGAGUUGCAAGUGCUGGUUGCAAUGCAACUGGUGCUGGUGGUUUGUGUUGCAGAAAUGGAGAUAUAACAGAGAGGCAAGGAAACUGUGGCUGCAAUUGAAGAUAAGGCAAGGAAAUGAUGCAGAGAUUGAUAUUGUACGAGUUGCAGGCCUGGGUUUGUCUAAGUGAAUGAAUGGGUAUGGUAUGAAUGUUGUGUAUGAAAUAUAGCAGGGAAGAAUAGCCUGAAAUGGUCGUGAAUUACCCAGAAAUAGACAGAGCUCUGCCUGAAUCGGAGUCAGGCGAGUUAACCCGACGAUUCAGGUGAGCUGACUCAAAUGGACUUGUUUUAACUGCGCUUCACUUGUGGGCUCUACUUCACGGCCAGACUUGGGUAAGCUGUGGCAUUGGAUUGGCAGGAGAUUGUGUGCACGGGAUUUCGACUACUUGGACACCUAUAAAAGAGAAAAGUACCUAUUAUUGAAGGAGCAUACUAGAACAAUGGAUACGGUUUUCAACCUCCUCAACACUAUGACGAUUUCCCACCAUCUAUGGAAUACGAUCAGAACCAAUUUAUUGGCUAUGAUCAAUAUCCAAGAGCUUAUGGUGAUUUUCAUACAUACCAACAACAACCUUGUAGUGGUAUGUAAGUUAAGCACCUAGGUGGGACAAUUCUACUUCCAAUUUGCUUUAUCCGAGAUGAAUGAAUGCUAUAAAAGGACUGAACAUCGCACAAACCAAUUUCUGCAACACUUUUUCUUACCCGACUCAGGAUCAUAGUUAUGAUCAAUCACCCAUUCAAAGGGAAGAGUCAUGGGAAAGAGAACCUAUUGUAGCCAAUGGUGGUAAGCGUGUGAACUUUAGAAACCUUGCACAGAAACUAUACAAGUUGGAAUACGAUGGAGCCUCGGAAGAGCUUGUCUAUGAAAUUAGUAGGACCAUUCGUAUGGAGCUUAAACGGCGUUGUGAUAAAGGAUGGGAAACCGAUGAAGAUUCUUAUUACGAACUUCCUUACGACAAGGUUUGAGCCUAAUGAUGACGAGUAUGUUGAGAAUGUGACCGAAUUAAGUAAUGUUGUGGAAGACCCAAUCGAGCUUGCACAUGAUUGUAAUCAUGAUGUUUAUGUCGAGACUUUGGUUGAGGCAUAGACGGACGAAGAAUGCUUGCAAGUUUUGAUAGAGGACCACGAUGUGCAAGAGGUAAUUAAUUCACUUGAAUUCUUUAAGGAUGAAGAGGAUACCAUAACACGAGAGUUGCAAGGCUUGUCUAAACCUUUACCUAUUAAUCCUUCUCCUUUACCUCUAUUGGCUUGAAUGCAUGUGCUUCGACAAUAUUGUUGAAUGACUUUAUUUCUCGAUAUCCGCCAUUAGAAACAUUUGAUUCUCAUACUAUGCAAGUUUGCAAAGAAGAAACCAUAGAAGUUCAUGAAUUUUAUGUUCUUUAUACACUUCCAAGUGUGGACAAGAAUAAGUGUGGGGCAAACUUCUAUUGGGAUAUAGCUUCCCUUUUGCUUUAUUAUACUAAUGUU